CCUGGCCUUGACAUACUAAGAACUUUCCAGAGAUGGAUUGGUGCCUUCGGGAACUUAGAUACAGGUGCUGCAUGGCUGUCGUCAGCUCGUGUCGUGAGAUGUUGGGUUAAGUCCCGCAACGAGCCGCAACCCUUUUCCUUAUUGCCAGCGGGUUAAGCCGGGAACUUUAAGGAUACUGCCAGUGACAAACUGGAGGAAGGCGGGGACGACGUCAAGUCAUCAUGGCCCUUACGGCCAGGGCUACACACGUGCUACAAUGGUCGGUACAAAGGGUUGCUACCUCGCGAGAGGAUGCUAAUCUCAAAAAGCCGAUCGUAGUCCGGAUCGCAGUCUGCAACUCGACUGCGUGAAGUCGGAAUCGCUAGUAAUCGCGGAUCAGAAUGCCGCGGUGAAUACGUUCCCGGGCCUUGUACACACCGCCCGUCACACCAUGGGAGUUUGUUGCACCAGAAGUAGGUAGUCUAACCGCAAGGAGGACGCUUACCACGGUGUGGCCGAUGACUGGGGUGAAGUCGUAACAAGGUAGGCGUAGAUGA
RNAcentral lists this ribosomal RNA (536 nucleotides) under uncultured bacterium. RNAcentral's name for it is "bacterial SSU rRNA". It matches the Rfam family "Bacterial small subunit ribosomal RNA", at positions 974 to 1509 of the family's 1533-position model. The record is from RNAcentral.